CGUCAGAAGUGGGAUUCGAACCCACUCAAUCAAGAGCGGACUGUGACAUGAACGCAACGCCUUAGACAGCUCGGCCGUUCUGAC
RNAcentral lists this transfer RNA (84 nucleotides) under Araneus ventricosus. Its description in RNAcentral is "tRNA-Met". Lineage: Eukaryota; Metazoa; Arthropoda; Arachnida; Araneae; Araneidae. The record is from RNAcentral.